GGGCGGUUAGCUCAGCGGUAGAGCACUACCUUGACAUGGUAGGGGUCGCAGGUUCGAACCCUGCACCGCCCACCA
RNAcentral lists this transfer RNA (75 nucleotides) under Gammaproteobacteria bacterium. RNAcentral's name for it is "tRNA-Val". It matches the Rfam family "tRNA". From Rfam's summary of the family: Transfer RNA (tRNA) molecules are approximately 80 nucleotides in length. Their secondary structure includes four short double-helical elements and three loops (D, anti-codon, and T loops). The record is from RNAcentral. Lineage: Bacteria; Pseudomonadati; Pseudomonadota; Gammaproteobacteria.